GCCACAAUAGCUCAGUUGGUAGAGUAUCGCAUUCGUAACGCGACGGUCGCGAGUUCAAGUCUCGCUUGUGGCU
RNAcentral lists this transfer RNA (73 nucleotides) under Bacteroidia bacterium. RNAcentral describes it as "tRNA-Thr". It matches the Rfam family "tRNA". From Rfam's summary of the family: Transfer RNA (tRNA) molecules are approximately 80 nucleotides in length. The record is from RNAcentral. Lineage: Bacteria; Pseudomonadati; Bacteroidota; Bacteroidia.